AGUGAACGCUGGCGGUAGGCCUAACACAUGCAAGUCGAACGGCAGCACAGUAAGAGCUUGCUCUUACGGGUGGCGAGUGGCGGACGGGUGAGGAAUACAUCGGAAUCUACUUUUUCGUGGGGGAUAACGUAGGGAAACUUACGCUAAUACCGCAUACGACCUACGGGUGAAAGCAGGGGAUCUUCGGACCUUGCGCGAAUGAAUGAGCCGAUGUCGGAUUAGCUAGUUGGCGGGGUAAAGGCCCACCAAGGCGACGAUCCGUAGCUGGUCUGAGAGGCUGAUCAGCCACACUGGAACUGAAACACGGUCCAGACUCCUGCGGGAGGCAGCAGUGGGGAAUAUUGGACAAUGGGCGCAAGCCUGAUCCAGCCAUACCGCGUGGGUGAAGAAGGCCUUCGGGUUGUAAAGCCCUUUUGUUGGGAAAGAAAAGCAGCAGGUUAAUACCCCGCUGUUCUGACGGUACCCAAAGAAUAAGCACCGGCUAACUUCGUG
RNAcentral lists this ribosomal RNA (492 nucleotides) under uncultured bacterium. RNAcentral's name for it is "partial 16S ribosomal RNA". It matches the Rfam family "Bacterial small subunit ribosomal RNA", at positions 29 to 507 of the family's 1533-position model. The record is from RNAcentral.